CCUACGGGGCGCAGCAGUGAGGAAUAUUGGUCAAUGGACGAGAGUCUGAACCAGCCAAGUAGCGUGAAGGAUGACUGCCCUAUGGGUUGUAAACUUCUUUUAUAUGGGAAUAAAAUGUUCCACGUGUGGGAUUUUGUAUGUACCAUAUGAAUAAGGAUCGGCUAACUCCGUGCCAGCAGCCGCGGUAAUACGGAGGAUCCGAGCGUUAUCCGGAUUUAUUGGGUUUAAAGGGAGCGUAGGUGGAUUGUUAAGUCAGUUGUGAAAGUUUGCGGCUCAACCGUAAAAUUGCAGUUGAAACUGGCAGUCUUGAGUACAGUAGAGGUGGACGGAAUUCGUGGUGUAGCGGUGAAAUGCUUAGAUAUCACGAAGAACUCCGAUUGCGAAGGCAGUUCACUGGACUGCAACUGACACUGAGGCUCGAAAGUGUGGGUAUCAAACAGGAUUAGAUACCCCUGUAGUC
Molecule: ribosomal RNA, 460 nt
Filed under: uncultured bacterium
Lineage: Bacteria
Description: partial 16S ribosomal RNA
Rfam family: Bacterial small subunit ribosomal RNA
Source: RNAcentral